CCUACGGGAGGCAGCAGGGAGGAAUAUUGGUCAAUGGACGAGAGUCUGAACCAGCCAAGUAGCGUGAAGGAUGACUGCCCUAUGGGUUGUAAACUUCUUUUAUAUGGGAAUAAAAUGUUCCACGUGUGGGAUUUUGUAUGUACCUUAUGAAUAAGGAUCGGCUAACUCCGUGCCAGCAGCCGCGGUAAUACGGAGGAUCCGAGCGUUAUCCGGAUUUAUUGGGUUUAAAGGGAGCGUAGGUGGAUUGUUAAGUCAGUUGUGAAAGUUUGCGGCUCAACCGUAAAAUUGCAGUUGAAACUGGCAGUCUUGAGUACAGUAGAGGUGGGCGGAAUUCGUGGUGUAGCGGUGAAAUGCUUAGAUAUCACGAAGAACUCCGAUUGCGAAGGCAGUUCACUGGACUGCAACUGACACUGAGGCUCGAAAGUGUGGGUAUCAAACAGGAUUAGAUACCCUUGUAGUC
Molecule: ribosomal RNA, 460 nt
Filed under: uncultured bacterium
Lineage: Bacteria
Description: partial 16S ribosomal RNA
Rfam family: Bacterial small subunit ribosomal RNA
Source: RNAcentral